This 935-nucleotide ribosomal RNA is filed under the name Helvella sp. RNAcentral's name for it is "partial large subunit ribosomal RNA". It matches the Rfam family "Eukaryotic large subunit ribosomal RNA", at positions 25 to 976 of the family's 3401-position model. Lineage: Eukaryota; Fungi; Ascomycota; Pezizomycetes; Pezizales; Helvellaceae. The record is from RNAcentral.
CGGUUGUAUUUUUCAUCAUAGCGGAGGAAAAGAAACCAACAGGGAUUGCCCCAGUAACGGCGAGUGAAGCGGCAACAGCUCAAAUUUGAAAUCUGGGGUCCCCGACCUCCGAGUUGUAAUUUGGAGAGGCACGCCCGGGGGGGAGCGCCGGCCCAUGUUCCUUGGAACAGGACGUCACAGAGGGUGAGAAUCCCGUGCCAGGCCGGCUGCCUCCUCCCGCUGUGGAGCGCCUUCGACGAGUCGAGUUGUUUGGGAAUGCAGCUCCAAGUGGGUGGUAAAUUUCAUCUAAAGCUAAAUACCGGCGGGAGACCGAUAGCGCACAAGUAGAGUGAUCGAAAGAUGAAAAGCACUUUGAAAAUAGAGUCAAAAAGUACGUGAAAUUGUUGAAAGGGAAGCGCUUGAGGCCAGACUCAGGCCCUGGCAAACAUCGCGCCCCUCGGGGCCGUGCAAUUGCCGGGGGCUGGGCCAGCAUCAGUUGGCGUGGCGGGACAAAGGCGCGGGGAAUGUGGCUCCCCUCGGGGAGUGUUAUUAGGCCCGCGCUCAAUGCCGCCGACGCCGACUGAGGACCGCGCCUAGGCUAGGAUGCUGGCUUAAUGGCCUUCAGCGACCCGUCUUGAAACACGGACCAAGGAGUCUAACAUCUAUGCGAGUGUUUGGGCGCCAAACCCUUGCGCGGAAUGAAAGUGAGCGGAGGUGGGAACCCCCCAGCGGGGCGCACCAUCGACCGAUCCUGAUGUCUUCGGAUGGAUUUGAGUAGGAGCAUAGCUGUUGGGACCCGAAAGAUGGUGAACUAUGCCUGAAUAGGGUGAAGCCAGAGGAAACUCUGGUGGAGGCUCGCAGCGGUUCUGACGUGCAAAUCGAUCGUCAAAUUUGGGUAUAGGGGCGAAAGACUAAUCGAACCAUCUAGAAGCUGGUUCUGCGAAAAUUUCUCUCUC